Betta splendens (Siamese fighting fish) is the source of this 1999-nucleotide long non-coding RNA. RefSeq lists it as uncharacterized. Lineage: Eukaryota; Metazoa; Chordata; Actinopteri; Anabantiformes; Osphronemidae. The transcript has 4 exons. The record is from RefSeq and is a predicted model, not a curated record.
UUACUAUCAUGGGAUUUUCUGAUUGAUGGCACUGGCUAUCCAUCAGUACACAGAACGUGGAGAGCGGCUUCAGUGUGUCAUUUGUAAUAUAAAUUCAGCACAAACUUCAUUGGUAGUUUUGGUGCAGUGUCAUCUUCAUACAUUUACACUACUUAAUUCCACGUGAACAUGUCCAGUAAUUUAGUAUUAUUGUCAUGCUUGUCUUAUUUCUUUGCUUCUGUAAUACAUCACAGUAUGACUAUUACGCCAGCAACCGCCACAGUGACACAUCGCUCCUCAAAAGGGGGAAUGCAGGUGUCGUCUUUGAAGAAAGAAGAAGGCGGAGUAUAUGAGAAAAAUAUUAGCAUGGGUUUACAUUUUAUUAUAAUUAUAAGAAAAGGAGGUACCAUUAAUUAUUGCUGCUAAUUAUGCUACCCCAAAUAAUUAAACAAUUAUAAAAGGGCACCAUCAAUGACAUUCACCCACUCUUUGACAUUUCAAAAUAUCACUUAAAACAGCAACAUUUAGAUUAUGGAUUUUCUUUUACAGGCAAGACUGUGUAUGUUUUUGAUCAUUUACAAAGAAGACAGGCUUUACUGUAUAAUAAUUAAUCUGACUUACAGUAAUCUUUUUCUUUAAAAGGAUUGCGGUAACGAGAUGAGGCCAAGAAAACAACCCUGCCUCUUUUGUUUGUCUUUGUCACAGCAGCAGAUGCCCAGGGAAAAGAAAAUGAUAGCCACUUGUUUGUGAGUAGCUGUGUACCUCCAACGCAAAGUCUUAGUCUUGGCUUAGUGACGACUGAUUCUGUAUUUGUCUGCGGACUGAGUCGGCAGGAUCUUGUCAUGUUCAUUUGCUUCAAGAGAAGUGUAGCGGCCGCGGCUCCUGCAUCCGAGCCUCUUUCUCUCUUUCCCUCCUUGUCUGUUGCUGGUGUGUGGCGGCACGCUGACUUGCACCUAAAAGGUCUUUGCCAAUGCCCUGGUGUCCUGCUCGAGAGAACAAGGCUAGAAAUGCAACAGUGCCCCCACUUGGUCGAAGGGAGAAGCGCACCAACAACAGCCUGUCAUUCUCGGUCUGCGGAACGUUCAGCUUCCUGACAAACAAGGCACAGAGGGGGUGGGGGGCUCCAAGGAAAUAGAGCUAUCCCGGAGCUGGCUGCCAUGUUGGCUUUGCUGAGGUGCAACGGUGGAGGAGCCGAGAGCCAACUCCACUGGACUCGGAGAGCUUUAAAGUCCAUGUAAAUGUGAGAGCGUACGCAAACCGUUCUGAAAACAUGUCAAUCAUGGUAAUGAUUUCUUUUUGCUGUGUGGUUCCGGCGUAUUUACAUUCGCUGGAUGUGAUAAUGAACAGCACACUGUUCCUCUGUGUGGGCGUGUGUGACGAUUGAAGACUGACAAGGCCCAUUUAAUUAAGAGGAGACAUUUCUUCUCAUCUAACCUUUUGUCUGCUGCUAUGGUUAAAUUUAAGCAGAAGUCAACAAACUGAAAAGCCAUUUUUCUAUGACAUUUUAUUGUAAAUGGUGAUGUCCUGCAGUAACCAUGUCUGUAAGCAAAGGAAUGCAGUAGAAGUUAAAAUUCUUUAAACUUUCCUCAUCUCGCUCACAUUCAGAAACUUGUCACAGAUGACCUUGUUUUCUCUGUGGCCUUUCCUUAAAUAGCCUAAAAGUUUCCCAAGGUGAGUUGGAAAGUACAUUAUUUCAAAAUGCAGGGUAAACUGCAAAGGGGGGGGGGGGGGUUGACCCUCGAAAUUCAACUGGCCUUCUGAACCUUUGUGUUAAGAAGUCGUUUAACAUUACUGCUGCGUUUAUUUAAAGCUUCCAACAAAAAAAAAGGGAGAUUUGAUCCAGAUUUACAUUAUUUUAAAACUUACAUUUGUCAGGUAAUGAAGUAUCAGGACCAAAGAACAAAACAAACAUGCAAAUCCUUAAGAACGAGAAUAAUUAGUGUCCACAAAUGACUUUUACAGUUUUUUGACAGUUGUACUUGAAGAUGUCAUUGAACUGGUUAUUUACAACUUACUGGCA